RNAcentral lists this ribosomal RNA (461 nucleotides) under uncultured bacterium. RNAcentral's name for it is "bacterial SSU rRNA". It matches the Rfam family "Bacterial small subunit ribosomal RNA", at positions 29 to 506 of the family's 1533-position model. The record is from RNAcentral.
ACGAACGCUGGCGGCGUGCCUAACACAUGCAAGUCGAGCGGAGAUAUUAGCAAUAAUAUCUUAGCGGCGGACGGGUGAGUAACGCGUGGGCAACCUGCCUCACACUGGGGGAUAACACAGGGAAACUUGUGCUAAUACCGCAUAACAUCAUGAAAGGACAUCCUUUUAUGAUCAAAGGAGCAAUCCGGUGAGAGAUGGGCCCGCGUCCAAUUAGCUAGUUGGUGAUGUAACGGACCACCAAGGCGACGAUUGGUAGCCGAACUGAGAGGUUGAUCGGCCACAUUGGGACUGAGAUACGGCCCAGACUCCUACGGGAGGCAGCAGUGGGGAAUAUUGCGCAAUGGGGGAAACCCUGACGCAGCAACGCCGCGUGAAGGAUGAAGGUUUUCGGAUCGUAAACUUCUUUGAUGGGGGACGAAAAAAAUGACGGUACCCCAAAAACAAGCCACGGCUAACUACGU